This 253-nucleotide ribosomal RNA is filed under the name uncultured bacterium. RNAcentral describes it as "partial 16S ribosomal RNA". It matches the Rfam family "Bacterial small subunit ribosomal RNA", at positions 524 to 776 of the family's 1533-position model. The record is from RNAcentral.
UACAGAGGGUGCGAGCGUUAAUCGGAAUUACUGGGCGUAAAGCGUGCGUAGACGGUUAUGUAAGUCGGGUGUGAAAGCCCCGGGCUCAACCUGGGAAUUGCAUUCGAGACUGCAUAGCUAGGGUGCGGAAGAGGGAAGCGGAAUUUCCGGUGUAGCGGUGAAAUGCGUAGAUAUCAGGAGGAACACCAAUUGCGAAGGCAGCUCGCUGGGACGUUACUGACGCUGAGACGCGAAAGCGUGGGGAGCAAACAGG